RNAcentral lists this ribosomal RNA (680 nucleotides) under uncultured bacterium. Its description in RNAcentral is "bacterial SSU rRNA". It matches the Rfam family "Bacterial small subunit ribosomal RNA", at positions 807 to 1501 of the family's 1533-position model. The record is from RNAcentral.
CGAUGGAUACUCGGUUUGAGAGGGAAUCGACCCCCUUUUGAGCCCAAGCUAACGCGUUAAGUAUCCCGCCUGGGGAGUACGGUCGCAAGAUUAAAACUCAAAGGAAUAGACGGGGACCCACACAAGCGGUGGAGCAUGUGGUUUAAUUCGACACUAAACGGGGAACCUUACCAAGGCUUGACAUCUCCGGAAUCAUUUGGAAACAAGUGAGUGCCGUAAGGAACCGGAUGACAGGUGCUGCAUGGUCGUCGUCAGCUCGUGCCUUGAGGUGUUCGGUUAAGUCCGUAAACGAGCGCAACCCAUGUCUUGUGUUGCAUUUCUCACAAGAGACUGCCGGCUCUAAGUCGGAGGAAGGUAUGGAUGACGUCAGAUCAGCAUGGCCCUUAUGCCUUGGGCCACACACGUGCUACAAUGGCCGGUACAGUAGGCAGCUAACCCGUAAGGGGGAGCCAAUCCUUUAAAGCCGGUCUCAGUUCGGAUUGAGGGCUGCAAUUCGCCCUCAUGAAGUUGGAAUCGCUAGUAACCGUGAAUCAGACAUGUCACGGUGAAUAUGUUCCUGGGUCUUGUACUCACCGCCCGUCAUAUCAUGAAAGGUGGGGGUACCCGAAGUCGCUUUAGUCUUUCGGGACGAGUGCCUAAGGUAAACUCACUGAUUGGGAUAAAGUCGUAACAAGGUAACC